GGGGGCGAUCGGCUUCGACGGAUUGAUAGAAGGCAUCGUCGCGUGCUCAGGUCCGAGGUCCUGAUAAAACCACUCGGAAAAAACACAAUUGCCAACACUGAUCUGGCGAUGGCUGCGUAAGCUGAGCUCCUAGGAGUUCGCUUCAUGCACCUCCUGGGUCCGAAGCCCGUCCGGGGCGUCGGCUUGGGAAUCAUCAAUCCGGACUAGCGACCGAUGGUCCUCCGACAUCGGAAGUGUGUUACACAGGAGGUCAACGUCGGGAAGGCUGGCACUGCGCCGGCCCGACGCCAAGUGUGAAGCAGAGCCUACGCACGUAGAAGCGGUCCCGGAAGUUGGUUCGGACCAGGGUUCGAUUCCCUGCGCCUCCAUCA
This 371-nucleotide transfer-messenger RNA is filed under the name Gemmatimonadales. RNAcentral's name for it is "Palsa-1233 sp013694695 Standard tmRNA". It matches the Rfam family "transfer-messenger RNA". From Rfam's summary of the family: Bacterial tmRNA, also known as 10Sa RNA or SsrA, is named for its dual tRNA and mRNA-like properties. Its role is to liberate the mRNA from a stalled ribosome. The record is from RNAcentral. RNAcentral also lists the same sequence under 1 other name. Lineage: Bacteria; Pseudomonadati; Gemmatimonadota; Gemmatimonadia.